Molecule: transfer RNA, 81 nt
Filed under: Fusarium mangiferae
Lineage: Eukaryota; Fungi; Ascomycota; Sordariomycetes; Hypocreales; Nectriaceae
Also listed under: 1 other name
Rfam family: tRNA
About the family: Transfer RNA (tRNA) molecules are approximately 80 nucleotides in length.
Source: RNAcentral
GACAACGUGUCCGAGUGGUUAAGGAGAUAGACUUGAAAUCUAUUGGCUUCGGCCUCGCAAGUUCGAAUCUUGUCGUUGUCG